RNAcentral lists this transfer RNA (77 nucleotides) under Acidobacteriota bacterium. Its description in RNAcentral is "tRNA-Thr". It matches the Rfam family "tRNA". From Rfam's summary of the family: Transfer RNA (tRNA) molecules are approximately 80 nucleotides in length. Lineage: Bacteria; Pseudomonadati; Acidobacteriota. RNAcentral also lists the same sequence under 2 other names. The record is from RNAcentral.
GCUGGCGUAGCUCAAUAAGGUAGAGCAGCCGAUUUGUAAUCGGCAGGUUGCGGGUUCGAGUCCCAUCGCCAGCUCCA